GGCCAGAGGUGAUAUUCUCUACUUGAUAGGUAUAGCAUUCUUUUUAACAAAAUGAACAUCGAUGAAAUUUCCUGCUGCACCUGAGUCCACCAGGGCCUUGCAUGAAAAGUUUUUUUUGUCAACUAUGAUCGUAAUAUCAAGGAGAAAUCUAUUAUUGUUAUUCCCAGAGGACGUGUCCAUUACACCUAAGACCUGUCCCCUUAAGGUUCUUAGGUGCGGUAGUUUUCCGGACUUAUGGGACAAGUACUCCUCAUAUGUCCUUUUUCACCACAGUAUAUGCAUAGACCCUCUCUUCUCCGAUGUGGUCUUUCUGCCUCGGACAGUCUAGUGACCCCCAACUGCAUAGGUUCGGGUUCAGACUGUAUCGAGAGGUCAGGAACAACUGUUCUGGAGAAAUGAGGCCUAAUGUCAAAGCCAUACAUCUGGUUUUAUU
This is a non-coding RNA of Pelobates cultripes (western spadefoot toad), 433 nucleotides long. NCBI's taxonomy places the organism in Eukaryota, Metazoa, Chordata, Amphibia, Anura, Pelobatidae. The record is from the annotation of a GenBank genome assembly.